RNAcentral lists this transfer RNA (84 nucleotides) under Felis catus (domestic cat). It matches the Rfam family "tRNA". From Rfam's summary of the family: Transfer RNA (tRNA) molecules are approximately 80 nucleotides in length. Their secondary structure includes four short double-helical elements and three loops (D, anti-codon, and T loops). Further hydrogen bonds mediate the characteristic L-shaped molecular structure. tRNAs have two regions of fundamental functional importance: the anti-codon, which is responsible for specific mRNA codon recognition, and the 3' end, to which the tRNAs corresponding amino acid is attached (by aminoacyl-tRNA synthetases). tRNAs cope with the degeneracy of the genetic code in two manners: having more than one tRNA (with a specific anti-codon) for a particular amino acid; and 'wobble' base-pairing, i.e. permitting non-standard base-pairing at the 3rd anti-codon position. Lineage: Eukaryota; Metazoa; Chordata; Mammalia; Carnivora; Felidae. The record is from Rfam by way of RNAcentral.
GCCUGGUUGGCUCAGUCGGUUGAGCAUCUGACUUUGGCUCAGGUUGUGAUCUCACAUUUGUGGGUUCGAGCCCUGCGUCAGACU